Molecule: unclassified non-coding RNA, 342 nt
Filed under: uncultured Powellomyces
Lineage: Eukaryota; Fungi; Chytridiomycota; Chytridiomycetes; Spizellomycetales; Powellomycetaceae
Description: sequence contains ITS2
Source: RNAcentral
AACGCACAUUGCGCUCCCUGGUAUUCCGGGGAGCAUGCUCGUUUCAGAAUCAUUAACAUUCUCAAAGACACGGUCUGAACCUUUGGGGGACGCCGUUACUCUUUCGGAUGUGAGCCCUUUUGCUGCAAGGCAAUGGCUUGAAAAUGAUUGUGUUUGCAACCGGCCUCCUUGGUUCGGUUCUCUCAAGUGCAACAGAUGUUAGCUCAUUCGUUACCUCUUGAUGAGAAGCGAUUCCAUUGUCCGGAUGAUCUUACACUCAACCAAAAUACACUCUCAGUGAUGGAAUUUAUCACUGUUUGAUAACUUGGUCUGAAAUCGAGCAAGAAAACCCGCUGAACUUAA